CCUACGGGAGGCUGCAGUGGGGAAUAUUGGACAAUGGGCGAAAGCCUGAUCCAGCCAUGCCGCGUGUGUGAAGAAGGCCUUCGGGUUGUAAAGCACUUUCAGUGGGGAAGAAAGCCUUGGGGCUAAUACCCUCGAGGAAGGACAUCGCCCACAGAAGAAGCACCGGCUAACUCCGUGCCAGCAGCCGCGGUAAUACGGAGGGUGCGAGCGUUAAUCGGAAUUACUGGGCGUAAAGCGCGCGUAGGCGGUCUGAUAAGCCGGUUGUGAAAGCCCCGGGCUCAACCUGGGAACGGCAUCCGGAACUGUCAGGCUAGAGUGCAGGAGAGGAAGGUAGAAUUCCCGGUGUAGCGGUGAAAUGCGUAGAGAUCGGGAGGAAUACCAGUGGCGAAGGCGGCCUUCUGGACUGACACUGACGCUGAGGUGCGAAAGCGUGGGUAGCAAACAGGAUUAGAUACCCCUGUAGUC
RNAcentral lists this ribosomal RNA (465 nucleotides) under Vreelandella stevensii. RNAcentral's name for it is "partial 16S ribosomal RNA". It matches the Rfam family "Bacterial small subunit ribosomal RNA", at positions 338 to 795 of the family's 1533-position model. Lineage: Bacteria; Pseudomonadati; Pseudomonadota; Gammaproteobacteria; Oceanospirillales; Halomonadaceae. The record is from RNAcentral.